RNAcentral lists this ribosomal RNA (301 nucleotides) under uncultured bacterium. RNAcentral describes it as "partial 16S ribosomal RNA". It matches the Rfam family "Bacterial small subunit ribosomal RNA", at positions 509 to 807 of the family's 1533-position model. The record is from RNAcentral.
CAGUAGCCACGGGAAUACGGAGGAUCCAAGCGUUAUCCGGAAUCAUUGGGUUUAAAGGGUCCGUAGGCGGUCUUGUAAGUCAGUGGUGAAAGCCCAUCGCUCAACGGUGGAACGGCCAUUGAUACUGCAGGACUUGAAUUAUUGGGAAGUAACUAGAAUAUGUAGUGUAGCGGUGAAAUGCUUAGAGAUUACAUGGAAUACCAAUUGCGAAGGCAGGUUACUACCAAUUGAUUGACGCUGAUGGACGAAAGCGUGGGUAGCGAACAGGAUUAGAUACCCCGGUAGUCCCUGUCUCUUAUAC